Molecule: ribosomal RNA, 188 nt
Filed under: uncultured bacterium
Lineage: Bacteria
Description: partial 16S ribosomal RNA
Rfam family: Bacterial small subunit ribosomal RNA
Source: RNAcentral
GACUGCAUGAAGUCGGAAUCGCUAGUAAUCGCAGACCAGCAAAGCUGCGGUGAAUACGUUCCCGGGCCUUGUACACACCGCCCGUCACACCACGGGAGUCGGUCGCGCCUGAAGCCGGUGGCCUAUCAGUAAUGGGGGAGCCGUCUAUGGCGAGAUUGGUAACUGGGGUGAAGUCGUAACAAGGUAAC